GUGGGGCUGAGGCGGCUUCUGGAAGGUUCUGCAGGCUGCUGCCGGCCAGCGUCUGUGGCGCUGCUCUAGGCAGCUGCUUUGGCGUCCUGGCGCUGGUGCUGACCCUUGCCCAGACCUGCUGUAUAACACAGACAUUGGAAUAGCCCUGAAGAAGUACACUUUUGGCAAGUAUGGACCUAAGCAUCUACUGAGAAGGUUCCGCUGUUGGUGAUGCUUGUGCACUGUCACCAACUACUCACAAGAGGGAGCUCAGAGAAAGCUUCAA
Molecule: long non-coding RNA, 265 nt
Filed under: Apteryx rowi (Okarito brown kiwi)
Lineage: Eukaryota; Metazoa; Chordata; Aves; Apterygiformes; Apterygidae
Description: lncRNA (ENSARWG00000012880.1)
Source: RNAcentral